UCCUAUACAGAACCUCUCUCUCUCUCUCUCUCUCUCUCUCUCUCACUCUCCUCUCUUGUAUUAACAGUUGAGGGGAAUGUUGUCUGGCUCGAUAUCAUUCAGGUGAAGCUCAAAUGUUAACUGAAUGAUUUCGGACCAGGCUUCAUUCCCCCCAACAGCGGUAUUGAUUUGAUAUAUAUCUUUUCUAAUUCAUCAUAUCUUCAUCAGUUCUGUUAUUCUAAGGCAAUAGAUAUAAGAGGUGCAAGAAAGGAAGCACCACAAAUAAUCAAGCAAUUAUGAAAGUUCAGCCACCGGAGAAGUGCGGCCGGCUGCAGCAGCAAGUAUCGGUAUAUGGUUUCAUUUUUUUAAUUCAAUCUCUCCUUUCAAGUAUGGACACAAAUAGUUGUGUUAACGUGAACAUGUGACUGUAAGAUUAGGUCUCUCUUGUCCUUUUUACUAUUUCAGUUUUGCCUUUUUUCUUGAUCAAUCUUCUUAUAGCGUCUAUUUGUCCAUGGCCAUGACAAACUAUAGCUACCAAAUUGGUUCAGAUGUCUAAAAAUCUUGCGGGUCAAUAAUUCAAAAUAAUGAAGAAUAACAAUAAUAAAAUUAAAGCUACCAUAUAUGCGUGUGUGGAUCAUCAGUUUAGAUCAGAUUUUACAUGUGAAGCUCAUAAUUUCUGGUGGGUCAGAUAUCUGAUCAUGGAUGUUGUCAUUUGUGUUGAGGAACACUGUAGAUCCAUGGAAUUGCCUGAUCAUAUUGUAUGAUGAGCUUCAGUAAAGGCAAAAUAAUUGGUCAUCUCUAUAAAGUCUUAUAAAAAAAAAAAAAUAAGCAAAAGUGAUGAAGCAGAAGUUAUAUUUUGUGCAGACAUGAUAAGACGACAAUAUCUAUGUCUGCUGUGAAAUUACGUGUGCUAGUUGCUUGUGAUUCUGGUGUGGAAAGCAAGGUUGAAAAAUUACAACCAAAGUACUUCUUUAUGGGAUUUGACAGGACUACUUGUGGGAUAUAUGAAGAAUGAAGAGACCAAAGAGAAAAAAAGAAUAGUUGGGUGCCAAACCUAUAUGGGGUCUGCUCUGCUUAAGUGUUCCCCAUGGCCAGGGGUUAAUUGAUUAUUAGCUUUUCCAUGCAUAUAACUAACAAUGGAAUGGGGGGCUUCUUUCUUAGCUUCUAGCUAGGGUUAGCUAGCGUUACCAAUUCUUCUCUUUAUUAUUUUAGGGGAUUUAUUUCACCCACUGUUGAACUUUAAAUUUGUUUUAUUAAUAUAUCUUAACUUCAAUUUGUAUCA
Molecule: long non-coding RNA, 1261 nt
Organism: Hevea brasiliensis (rubber tree)
Lineage: Eukaryota; Viridiplantae; Streptophyta; Magnoliopsida; Malpighiales; Euphorbiaceae
Exons: 2
Source: RefSeq, a predicted model, not a curated record